This 551-nucleotide ribosomal RNA is filed under the name uncultured bacterium. RNAcentral describes it as "bacterial SSU rRNA". It matches the Rfam family "Bacterial small subunit ribosomal RNA", at positions 777 to 1327 of the family's 1533-position model. The record is from RNAcentral.
AAUAGAUACCCCGGUAGUCCACGCCGUAAACGAUGAGUGCUAAGUGUUAGGGGGUUUCCGCCCCUUAGUGCUGCAGCUAACGCAUUAAGCACUCCGCCUGGGGAGUACGGUCGCAAGACUGAAACUCAAAGGAAUUGACGGGGGCCCGCACAAGCGGUGGAGCAUGUGGUUUAAUUCGGAGCAACGCGAAGAACCUUACCAGGUCUUGACAUCCCAUUGACCACUAUGGAGACAUAGUUUUCCCUUCGGGGACAACGGUGACAGGUGGUGCAUGGUUGUCGUCAGCUCGUGUCGUGAGAUGUUGGGUUAAGUCCCGCAACGAGCGCAACCCUUGUUCUUAGUUGCCAUCAUUUAGUUGGGCACUCUAAGGAGACUGCCGGUGACAAACCGGAGGAAGGUGGGGAUGACGUCAAAUCAUCAUGCCCCUUAUGACCUGGGCUACACACGUGCUACAAUGGACGGUACAAACGGUUGCCAACCCGCGAGGGGAGCUAAUCCGAUAAAACCGUUCUCAGUUCGGAUUGUAGGCUGCAACUCGCCUACAUGAAGCC